This 935-nucleotide long non-coding RNA is filed under the name Prunus dulcis (almond). RNAcentral describes it as "sRNA ncRNA". The record is from RNAcentral. Lineage: Eukaryota; Viridiplantae; Streptophyta; Magnoliopsida; Rosales; Rosaceae.
AUGGUUGCUGCCUCAUCAUCAUCUAAAAAGUCUUCUAUUGCUGUGGCUGGUAUCCAAUGCCAGUGCCACAUUUAUUUUCUUGAAGAGGAAACUGGGGAAACACAGCCUCCUAUGUGAUAUGUGACUUUUUGGUGUUCCUUGGAAGAAGAAGAAGAGGUAGAAAGAUGAAACUCAUAUUCUGAAUCUGAUGCAGCAUAUGGUUUCUUUUACCUUUUCAAUUGAAAUCCACAAUUAAUUAAGCAAAUUAUUAGCUGAAAAAUGAACCUAUUAGAGUUGAACAUAGUGAAAGUGGAUUGUUUUGAUGACAACCAUGAAAAAAAAAUGCUAGCGUCAAUCGUGUGUAAGUCCAUGACAGAUGGGUUGCGAAAUUCUAAAGAGGGUCCUCCUCCUUUUAAAAUUGAAAUAUGAACACACACCCUACAGCUACAGGACCCCACUACUCUAUCUACUAGGUCCACCCCUAAGCUUAAUAGUAACCAUAGACGUGCAGACCAAUAUCGAGGCACGGCUCAAUUCUGUAGAUUGGCCAAACUUAUUUCCCAACGGCCUUAAAACCAAAGUCUUGAAGAAUUCACUGCUACACUACACACACAAUAACAAAUAUAAAAACAACAAAAACAACAAACAACAAAUCUACUUGACCCCAAAAAACAAUAUUUAAAAGCAGGAAAAGGGGAAAAAGCAAAACAUUCAGCAUUGGUUCCAGUUAUUUGUGCCUUGGAACUUUUCCUUUGGCCCCUUCUCUCUUCCUUCGAUACCCACCACACAAUCACAUCACACACACUUCUACGUACCCCUUCCAUUCCAUCCCUCUCCAACUCUAAACUCUCACCAAAACUUCAUUUUUCUUUUGUUUAAUUAGUAAAACUCUCGUAUUUUUUGUUACAUAUAAUAAAAAUCAAAUGUUAAUCACAUAUAAACUUGUUUUGGAAUGA